This is a long non-coding RNA of Capsella rubella, 776 nucleotides long. RefSeq lists it as uncharacterized. NCBI's taxonomy places the organism in Eukaryota, Viridiplantae, Streptophyta, Magnoliopsida, Brassicales, Brassicaceae. The transcript has 2 exons. The record is from RefSeq and is a predicted model, not a curated record.
UCUGGGACAAUAAGCCUAGGCGAUGAAUUUACAAUAUCCAGCGAACACGUCCUUGAAAUCAUUGAAAGGAAGAAACCUAUUGGUAACAAGCUUAUGUAUGCGCUGAUUAAGUUAAGUUUGCAAAUUCAGCAAAGUUCAUAUUCCCCCAGCCGCUUGUGGACGCAAUUGUUGGUAGCUCAGAUGUCGAAUGUGUCCAGCCGUUCGUUGAUGCUGAAUAUCUGGGCAUUCCAUUCAAUUCCGACAAGAAGCAUUGGGUUGCUUUCUGUGUUGAUCUAAAUGCCCAGAAAAUUGUGGUCCUCGACCCCAAUUUCAAUAUACAAAGCGAUGCCCAAGCCAAAACUGCCAUACAACCUGUAGCAUUGAUGCUCCCCUUCCUAUUCAAACAAGUUGCAGCUAAUACUGACACGACUAGAUCCAUUCCUGCUCGAAAUGAAGUAGAGAGCCCUCUCGGCAUCUCCCAGGUGAGAUCCCAAUUUGAUGAUGGGUUAAUGAUGGUAUUUUUUAUCCAUGCUCACGCUUCUAGGGGCAUGCUCGAGGUCAGGUAGUUUGACGUUGCUAGCCUUGACACUGUGCCCAGAAAGCUCGUAUCCACACUUAUUAUUUAUGGGAUUGAGUAGUAUGCUUAUUGUUGUAGACUGUUCUGGUAGUGUCGAAGAUGUAUUCCUGGCUCCACAAACAUAUCCCCAUCUUGCUAUUUGAUAUUAAUUGUUAACGGUUUUGGUUGUAGCUCACUGCUCAAAUAUUUGGAAGCGUAAUUUUAUUUUGUGGAUUGGCAA